RNAcentral lists this ribosomal RNA (494 nucleotides) under uncultured bacterium. RNAcentral's name for it is "partial 16S ribosomal RNA". It matches the Rfam family "Bacterial small subunit ribosomal RNA", at positions 28 to 507 of the family's 1533-position model. The record is from RNAcentral.
GACGAACGCUGGCGGCGUGCUUAACACAUGCAAGUCGAACGGAAAGGCCUGCUUUCCCUUGUGGAUUGCGGGUACUCGAGUGGCGAACGGGUGAGUAACACGUGAGUGAUCUGCCCCCAACUUGGGUAUAAGCCUGGGAAACUUGGUCUAAUUCCCGAUAGGACUGCAGGGUGGUGCCUGUGGUGGAAAACGAUUUUCUAGUGGUUGUGGAUGAGCUCGCGGCCUAUCAGCUUGUUGGUGGGGUAAUGGCCUACCAAGGCGGCGACGGGUAGCCGGCCUGAGAGGGUGGACGGCCACAUUGGGACUGAGACACGGCCCAGACUCCUACGGGAGGCAGGAGUGGGGCAGAAUGCACAAUGGGCGGAAGCCUGAUGCAGCGACGGCGUGUGGGGGAUGUCGGCCUUCGGGUUGUAAACUCCUUUCGACCGCGAGGAAGCCACCUGGUUGGAAGGGUGGUGACGGUAGUGGUAGAAGAAGCACCGGCUAACUACGUG